GACGGGUAUCCGGCCUGAGAGGGUGAACGGACACACUGGAACUGAGACACGGUCCAGACUCCUACGGGAGGCAGCAGUAGGGAAUAUUGCUCAAUGGAGGAAACCCUGAAGCAGCAACGCCGCGUGGAGGAUGAAGGUUUUAGGAUUGUAAACUCCUUUUGUUAGAGAAGAUUAUGACGGUAUCUAACGAAUAAGCACCGGCUAACUCCGUGCCAGCAGCCGCGGUAAUACGGAGGGUGCAAGCGUUACUCGGAAUCACUGGGCGUAAAGAGUGCGCAGGCGGGAUAGCAAGUCAGAUGUGAAAUGCUAUGGCUUAACCAUAGAACUGCAUUUGAAACUGUUAUUCUA
RNAcentral lists this ribosomal RNA (348 nucleotides) under uncultured Helicobacter sp. Its description in RNAcentral is "bacterial SSU rRNA". It matches the Rfam family "Bacterial small subunit ribosomal RNA", at positions 278 to 643 of the family's 1533-position model. Lineage: Bacteria; Pseudomonadati; Campylobacterota; Epsilonproteobacteria; Campylobacterales; Helicobacteraceae. The record is from RNAcentral.